Molecule: ribosomal RNA, 253 nt
Filed under: uncultured bacterium
Lineage: Bacteria
Description: partial 16S ribosomal RNA
Rfam family: Bacterial small subunit ribosomal RNA
Source: RNAcentral
UACGGAGGGUGCGAGCGUUGUCCGGAAUCACUGGGCGUAAAGGGCGCGUAGGUGGCCCUACAAGUCAACGGUGAAAGCUCGGCGCUCAACGCCGAGUCGGCCGUCGAUACUGUUGGGCUGGAGCACUGUAGAGGCUCAUGGAAUUCCGGGUGUAGCGGUGGAAUGCGUAGAGAUCCGGAAGAACACCGGUGGCGAAGGCGGUGAGCUGGGCCGACACUGACGCUGAUGCGCGAAAGCCAGGGGAGCGAACGGG